AUACGGAAGGUCCGGGCGUUAUCCGGAUUUAUUGGGUUUAAAGGGAGCGCAGGCGGAGAUGCAAGCGUGACGUCAAAUUUCGGGGCUCAACCCCGUCUCGCGUCGCGAACUGCGUCCCUUGGUUGCGGGAAGGGGAGGCGGAACUCGUGGUGUAGCGGUGAAAUGCAUAGAUAUCACGAAGAACUCCGAUCGCGAAGGCAGCCUUCCGGCCCGUCAACGACGCUCAUGCUCGAAGUUGCGGGUAUCAAACAGGAUUAGAUACCCUGGUAGUCCGCACAGUAAACGAUGGACACCCGCGGUUUGGCCUGUAUGGCUGAGCCGCCAAGCGAAAGCGUUAAGUGUCCCACCUGGGGAGUACGCCGGCAACGGUGAAACUCAAAGGAAUUGACGGGG
Molecule: ribosomal RNA, 393 nt
Filed under: uncultured bacterium
Lineage: Bacteria
Description: partial 16S ribosomal RNA
Rfam family: Bacterial small subunit ribosomal RNA
Source: RNAcentral